AGGCUAUCAGCCACCACCAGGAGGGACCCGCCAAUCCUUGGUUCGUGGAUUUAUUUACAGCGAAAACACGCAAACACAUAGGAGAAAAAGUUUUUUUUAUAUAGUAAAAGAAAGUUCAAAAAGGUACCAAAAAGCUAGGAGAGAAAAACAAAUCAGUGGGCGAUUUUGGAUCCGAUGGAUCGUUAAGCAUGAGGAUUGUAAUAAAUCCGUGGUUGGUUAGCAUUUGGUCACAUGACUGCUUUUCUUCGCCUC
This 252-nucleotide long non-coding RNA is filed under the name Brassica napus (rape). RNAcentral describes it as "long non-coding RNA (BNAP_LNC016255)". The record is from RNAcentral. Lineage: Eukaryota; Viridiplantae; Streptophyta; Magnoliopsida; Brassicales; Brassicaceae.